CCUACGGUGGCAGCAGUGGGGAAUAUUGGGCAAUGGGCGCAAGCCUGACCCAGCAACGCCGCGUGAAGGAAGAAGGCUUUCGGGUUGUAAACUUCUUUUCUGAGGGACGAAGAAAGUGACGGUACCUCAGGACUAAUCCACGGCUAACUACGUGCCAGCAGCCGAGGUAAUGCGUAGGUGGCAAGCUUUAUCCGGCUUUCUCGGGUGUAAGGGGCGUGUAGGGGGGAAAGCAAGUCAGAUGUGAAAACUCAGGGCUCAACCCUGGGCCUGCAUUUGAAACUGUUUUUCUGGAGUGCUGGAGAGGCAAGCGGAAUUCCGUGUGUAGGGGUGAAAUGCGUAGAUAUACGGAGGAACACCAGUGGCGAAGGCGGAUUGCUGGACAGUAACUGACGCUGAGGCGCGAAAGCGUGGGGAGCAAACAGGAUUAGAUACCCCUGUAGUC
Molecule: ribosomal RNA, 442 nt
Filed under: uncultured bacterium
Lineage: Bacteria
Description: partial 16S ribosomal RNA
Rfam family: Bacterial small subunit ribosomal RNA
Source: RNAcentral